GACGAACGCUGGCGGCGUGCUUAACACAUGCAAGUCGAACGGAAAGGCCCUGCUUUUGUGGGGUGCUCGAGUGGCGAACGGGUGAGUAACACGUGAGUAACCUGCCCUUGACUUUGGGAUAACUUCAGGAAACUGGGGCUAAUACCGGAUAGGAGCUCCUGCUGCAUGGUGGGGGUUGGAAAGUUUCGGCGGUUGGGGAUGGACUCGCGGCUUAUCAGCUUGUUGGUGGGGUAGUGGCUUACCAAGGCUUUGACGGGUAGCCGGCCUGAGAGGGUGAACGGCCACAAUGGGACUGAGAUACGGCCCAGACUCCUACGGGAGGCAGCAGUGGGGAAUAUUGCACAAUGGGCGGAAGCCUGAUGCAGCAACGCCGCGUGCGGGAUGACGGCCUUCGGGUUGUAAACCGCUUUCGCCUGUGACGAAGCGUGAGUGACGGUAAUGGGUAAAGAAGCACCGGCUAACUACGUG
Molecule: ribosomal RNA, 468 nt
Filed under: uncultured bacterium
Lineage: Bacteria
Description: partial 16S ribosomal RNA
Rfam family: Bacterial small subunit ribosomal RNA
Source: RNAcentral